Molecule: small nuclear RNA, 206 nt
Filed under: Exidia glandulosa HHB12029
Lineage: Eukaryota; Fungi; Basidiomycota; Agaricomycetes; Auriculariales; Exidiaceae
Description: U2 spliceosomal RNA
Rfam family: U2 spliceosomal RNA
About the family: U2 is a small nuclear RNA (snRNA) component of the spliceosome (involved in pre-mRNA splicing). Complementary binding between U2 snRNA (in an area lying towards the 5' end but 3' to hairpin I) and the branchpoint sequence (BPS) of the intron results the bulging out of an unpaired adenosine, on the BPS, which initiates a nucleophilic attack at the intronic 5' splice site, thus starting the first of two transesterification reactions that mediate splicing.
Source: Rfam by way of RNAcentral
UCACCACUCUGGCCUCAAUGGCUUAGAUGAAGUGUAGUAUCUGUUCUUUAUAGUUUAACAACUAUAACAGUCCUCCUGGGACUCGUUCGUUGUUUCCUUAUUUUUGCUGGCCAGCAGUGCGCAAUCGGUGGACGCGGGCUUGCUCGCUCCGCCGAGUGCGACGAUGACCUUGCCACUACACUCACGGCUCGUGUUGUCAUGGCAUU